AUGGCGGGCGGGCAAGAAUCGUCAGCCGUGGCGGCCGACUUGGACCCCGUGUACGAGUGGGUCGACGGCGACGGCAGCUAUCUCCUCCGCCUCAACCUCCCAGGGUUCAAGAAGGAGGACUUCCGGGUGCACGUGGACCCCGCGGGCCGGCUCAACAUCCUCGGCCACAAAACGGCGGAUGGCGGAGCUGGGAACGUGCGGCUGCACAAGGUGUUUCAGCUGCCAUCUACAUCCGACCUCGACGCAAUCACCGGCCGGUACGACGCCAACUUGCUCACGCUCACCGUGCCCAAGCUGCCUUCCGCCCCGGCCAAGGACGUCGGCGACAAACCAACGGAUGAGAAAUCCAAGGUUAUCCGGGAGGCGGAGCGGCUGAUCGAGGCGGCGAGGGCAAGGUUGCAGCUGGGGAGGCACAGAGAGGAGACGGCCAAGGAACCCCCGGCCACGAAAGUGGACGACAGGAAACAGGAGCCCAAGGCAACAGAAAAGGUGGUGAAAGGAGAUGAUGGUCAGGACCACAAGGAGAAGCUUGAGUAUGAGACGGCGACAGAGACGGAGACGCAGAGGGAGAAGAAAGGCUGCUGGAAGGAGCGGGCGGCGGAGGAGGGGUUCAAGUGGGCAGAUACCAUAGGUAAGAACAAGGAGGUGAUCGCCGCCACCGCCGUCGCCGCCUUCACGCUAGGCGUCUUCGUCUCCCAUAGGCUCUUCUCCAGAAACUGA
Molecule: ribosomal RNA, 720 nt
Filed under: Triticum aestivum (bread wheat)
Lineage: Eukaryota; Viridiplantae; Streptophyta; Magnoliopsida; Poales; Poaceae
Description: partial small subunit ribosomal RNA
Source: RNAcentral